This 104-nucleotide non-coding RNA is filed under the name Paraburkholderia phenazinium. RNAcentral's name for it is "Glycine sequence". It matches the Rfam family "Glycine riboswitch aptamer". Rfam says of the family: This family represents the bacterial glycine riboswitch. The record is from RNAcentral. Lineage: Bacteria; Pseudomonadati; Pseudomonadota; Betaproteobacteria; Burkholderiales; Burkholderiaceae.
CCGCACGCGUCGGGAGAGCGCGCUGGCCGCAUUGUUUUUCGCAGGCCGCGCCGCCGAAGGGGCACACCCGCAAACUCUCAGGCAAAAGGACCGACCGCGUCGAA